RNAcentral lists this ribosomal RNA (468 nucleotides) under uncultured bacterium. Its description in RNAcentral is "partial 16S ribosomal RNA". It matches the Rfam family "Bacterial small subunit ribosomal RNA", at positions 28 to 507 of the family's 1533-position model. The record is from RNAcentral.
GAUGAACGCUGGCGGCGUGCUUAACACAUGCAAGUCGAACGGAAAGGCCCUGCUUUUGUGGGGUUCUCGAUUGGCGAACGGGUGAGUAACACGUGAGUAACCUGCCCUUGUCUUUGGGAUAACUUCAGGUAACUGGGGCUAAUACCGGAUAGGAGCUCCUGCUGCAUGGUGGGGGUUGGAAAGUUUCGGCGGUUGGGGUUGGACUCGCGGCUUAUCAGCUUGUUGGUGGGGUAGUGGCUUACCAAGGCUUUGACGGGUAGCCGGCCUGAGAGGGUGACCGGCCACAUUGGGACUGAGAUAGGGCGCAGACUCCUACGGUAGGCAGCGGUGGGGAAUAUUGCACAGUGGGCGGAAGCCUGAUGCAGCAACGCGGCGUGCGGGAUGACGGCCUUCGGGUUGUAAACCGCAUUCGCCUGUGACGAAGCGUGAGUGACGGUAAUGAGUAAAGAAGCACCGGCUAACUACGUG